This 492-nucleotide ribosomal RNA is filed under the name uncultured bacterium. Its description in RNAcentral is "bacterial SSU rRNA". It matches the Rfam family "Bacterial small subunit ribosomal RNA", at positions 29 to 530 of the family's 1533-position model. The record is from RNAcentral.
AGUUAACGUUGGCGGCGUGCCUAACACAUGCAAGUCGAACGCGUCCUAAGGGCAACUUUAGGAUGAGUGGCGAACGGGUGAGUAUCACGUGGGUAAUCUUCCUUCAAGUGGGGAAUAAGCUCUCGAAAGGGAGUCUAAUACCGCAUGACAUUCCGGGACACAAGUCCCGUAAUCAAAGCCGCAAGGCGCUUGAAGAUGAGCCUGCGUCCUAUUAGCUAGUUGGUGGGGUAACGGCCUACCAAGGCUUAGAUGGGUAGCCGGCCUGAGAGGGUGAACGGCCACACUGGGACUGAGACACGGCCCAGACUCCUACGGGGGCAGCAGUGGGGAAUCUUGCACAAUGGGCGAAAGCCUGAUGCAGCGACGCCGCGUGAGCGAAGAAGGCCUUCGGGUUGUAAAGCUCUGUCUGGAGGGACGAAGGAAGUGGACGGUACCGUCCGGAGGAAGCCGACGGCUAACUACGUGCCAGCAGCCGACGGUAAAGUCACGUCG